GUGAGUUGUGACAACCGUCCCGGCCCGGCUCCGAGCACAUGGGCGUUGGAAAGAAGUGACCUUGUGCUCUCGGUGCUAGGGGCCAAGGCUGGGGCGCUUCCGCACGCACGUCCAAGGCGGAGCCCAGGAUCCGUGCUCAACUCGGGGCUGGAUGAGGAGAUUCGUCCUGAUGCCUUUGAGGUGUAGCAAAACGGUUCAGCCGUUCCGUCAAACACAGUACUACAGUACUCCCAGAGGGAGUGCAUUUUUUUUUUUUUUUUCCUUUCUGUUCAGCUUCAAACCGCCUUUGGAUCUGGUUCGCUGAGCUUUCACUUCUGUCCACCAGGGAGCACAUCUGCCAGCAGUACUCGAGGGUAUUACACCAGCAAGAAAGUGAGUGGAGCUGAGCAAGUUUAUGAUUGCAAAGAGAUGGACAAAUGUUGCUGGACUGAAUGAUAUUGCAGAGUAUUAUUUAACUAUGAAGUAGGAUGCAGAGGAAUUUUCAUGACUCAUUUCAAGACAAGACUGAAUUUAAAGACAGUAUCUGCAGCUAAUCUACUAAGAGUGGAAAGAAAGAAGUACCUUCCAGCUAGAAACAUUUACCUCACUAUAAUAUCUGCCAAGGAUGCCUCCCUCCAAAAGAAGUUAUGUAUGUGUGAUCCGUCAGUGUAAUCUGCAGUGGAAAGGUACUAAGUGAGGGUUAGCAGACCCCUUGCCAGCCUGUCACCACCGGUAUCUGCUGGUGGUAAUCCUAGGAUGGGCACUAUACCAGCUGGCUGCCCUGAUAGUGAGAACUUGGCAGAGAUUGACCAGCCAGCUACCUUCAGUAACAUUCUUAUAAUUGGAUUGGAUCUCUUGUCUCACAGUAUCAAAUAGAUAAAGUAAUGGAAACCAAAGCUAAGAAUAGAGGACAAACAGGAUCAAAAAUAUGCUUCAGUUCAUCUCCCUCAGAUGUAUUAUACACCUCCUCUGACUUAGAGACUUGCAAAGAGAACCCUCCUUGUGCCUUUGUGCAGUUACCAUGAUCACCCUUCUAGCAGAAAAAAAUGGACUCUAUUGUGUUUGUAGACACCUUAGCUGCAGCUCAUUCUAUUGCUGGUGUUUUCUCACCUAUGCCUGUAUUCUGGCUCAGGGUCAAUCUGCAAGUAUCUAUUCAUGCUUUGCAUUUGAUGUCACACAAAAUUUUGGUCAGCUUACAGAGUAGCAUGGGUUUCUUACCUCUGCAGAUUCCAAUAUUAGAAACAGUUAUUAAGUGGAAGCUCUUUCACAAGUCCUUCUACCCUGUUUAGUUGUUAAAAAGUUAGGCCUAUGUUACUCCUUAUGAUGAUGUCACAGAAGGAAGUGACCAGACUAAUCAUUCUGUCAUGAACAUGGACUUUUCUGGUCUUCAGGAUAUGGGUUUUGUUCUGAUUUGUGUCUCUGGAUCUGAUUCACGUUCUCCUUCUGAAUUUUUACUGUUGCAAAACUAUGUACUUGCAAUUGAAAAGGACUUUCGAAUCCUCUGUGGCUGCCAAUUAAACCCAGGUUUGUUAUGGUACUCUCUGAAUGUCUACCUGGUAGCAGCUCUCUAUUUUACCCUACCUUGCUGCUGUGUAACACUCUGGUGAAAGUGGACUGAUUGCAACAAACAGAAAGCAUGGUUUAUUCCAAACCUUUCUGAGAAGCACAGAAGUUUUGUAGUUCCUGUCCCAUCUGCCUGGCUAAUAACAUUGUCUUGCAUAUUAAAAGAACUCCUGUAGCACGUUCCAAACCUUGAGGUCCUUUUGUUAAUGUACAGACAGUUUUCAUCCAAAUGCCUAAAUGUUCUUACGAAGAACAUGUAUUUGUAAUUUUUGACAUGUUCUCAGGAUGAGAUAAACUGAGGCUUAUUCCUGCUAACAUUCUGGUGCCACUGCAGCGGCCAAGAAACUCUUAGAGAGCCAUAAUACCUUGAUUUGGUGUUUCUCUUACUUUAUGUAGUGAUUGAGUCUUUCAUUUCAUGAACCAAGUGAUUAAGAAUAAUUACAAAGUUUUAAUCAUUAGUCAGCAUUUGCACUGCACCUGCCAUCCUCAAUCCAGAGGUGCAGUAGAAAGAAGAAACUCUGACUUGGCAUGGAAGUCAGCUAAAAUAUAAAAAAAAAGAACUGAAAAGGACAGAGGCACUGCUGCUAGCAUUGAUGCAUAUGUGAAGUACAGCAAAUGGGAAACAUCAUCUCUUUCCUCAUGAAAUUCCAAUAUAUCUUCCUUAUUCUACACCUGAAGCACUGCAUAAACCUGACCUAUGAUUCAGUAUUAAACAUUGUGGAGUCCUGAUGAAACAUGUAAGAUCUGUCCAUUCACAAGUAAAGGAAGCUUUUCCAGGGCAUGUCUGCAAGAUGCCUCACUUUCUGAAAUGAGAAGACUGGGUCAACAUGGCCCAAGAUGUACCAACAAAAGAACUCUCUCUAUUCCAGGCAGAAAGUACCACAUCAGGUACUCGUAAUCAUCAACUCUACCGUCACAUAUGAUGUGCCACUGGGUACGUGCAUCUCAGCUAACAAAACAAUGCAGAGAAAGGUUCUGCCUUCACUAAACAGAACACAGAUCUUGGAUCCUAAACCUUCUUAUCUGAAUCUGAUUUUGUAAUUUGUCUGUGGUCACAAAGACAAAGGCUGAUUAUUCAAUCUCCAACCAAGCAAAUUAGACACAUUUUGAAUGGCUUAUUUGAUCACUGGGUUUAUUUUAAAAUAGCAUUUGAAUUAGUUUCCACAGUUUACAGUCAUCCAAGCUGAAUACACUGUAAACACUUAAAAUGAACCUCUAACCCCUAACCAGAAAAUUCUUAGACCACAUUCUAUAAGGACAAGAAGCCUAUAGAAUGUGGAGAGUUAACUUUUUCCUUAAACUUUCAAAUCAGUUCGUUAUUGCAGCAAGUCAUAGAAUUAUAGAAUCAUAGAAUCAUAGAAUCACAAGGUUGGAAAGAACCUACAAGAUGGGAGAGCUGACCACUGGUCAGGAGUCAAAGUUAUUUGGCUUACCCUGUUAUAUUUACCAUUGCCAUCUGAAAUACAACUUAUUACAAGACAUUGCCCACCAGUAAUCCACCUUGCUUCUGUCCUGCUUACAUGACUAUUAUCCUAUUUCUUUUCCAAAGUAGAGUUAGGUGGUUUGGAGUAAAUUGUGAUGAAGACAGGUAGUUGUAGCAAAUGUAAACAAAGCAGUGAGUAACUUGUGAAUUAGGAUUACCUGCAAAAGAGAGCAGUGGCCUUGGAUUCAAAUACUACUUGCUAGUGGGCUGAAAGACAGCAAUGACAUCACAGCAGAGCUGUAGGAUAUAAAAAUCCACUGUCUUAGAACAAUAUGCAUACAUUUGUCCUGUAGUUGUAUGUAUUGCCUCACAUGUAUGAGAACUACCUCAAGGCAGACAAACAUGCGACAGUGGUUGUUUUACUGCCCUGGCAAUUACUAAUUAAUUUGUCAAACAAGAAGCUCAAACAUUAAGACUGUCAUAAGUGUCUCUAUCCAAAAACAGCAGGAAAGCCUUUAGAUAAAAGUGCUGUUUGUUAUAUCUACACAUUGAUAACUGAAAAUGGGUUUACAUAUCUGACAUUCUCUAAAUCAA
Molecule: long non-coding RNA, 3559 nt
Organism: Meleagris gallopavo (turkey)
Lineage: Eukaryota; Metazoa; Chordata; Aves; Galliformes; Phasianidae
Source: RefSeq, a predicted model, not a curated record